This 946-nucleotide ribosomal RNA is filed under the name uncultured bacterium. RNAcentral describes it as "bacterial SSU rRNA". It matches the Rfam family "Bacterial small subunit ribosomal RNA", at positions 28 to 1001 of the family's 1533-position model. The record is from RNAcentral.
GAUGAAUGCUGGCGGCGUGCCUAAUACAUGCAAGUCGUGCGGCAGCGCGAGUAGUUUACUACUUGGCGGCGAGCGGCGGACGGCUGAGUAACGCGUGGGAAUGUGCCCCAAAGUGAGGGAUAAGCCCGAGAAAUCGGGUCUAAUACCGCAUAUGGUCUUCGGAUUAAAGCUUCGGCGCUUUGGGAGCGGCCCGCGUACGAUUAGAUUGUUGGUGAGGUAAUGGCUCACCAAGUCGACGAUCGUUAGCUGGUCUGAGAGGAUGAUCAGUCAGACUGGAACUGAGACACGGUCCAGACUCCUACGGGAGGCAGCAGUAAGGAAUCUUCCACAAUGGGGGCAACCCUGAUGGAGCAACGCCGCGUGCAGGAUGAAGGCCCUCGGGUCGUAAACUGCUUUUAUGAGUGAAGAAUAUGACGGUAACUCAUGAAUAAGCACCGGCUAACUACGUGCCAGCAGCCGCGGUCAUACGUAGGGUGCAAGCAUUAUCCGGAGUGACUGGGCGUAAAGAGUUGCGUAGGCGGUUAGUAAAGCGAAUAGUGAAACCUGGUGGCUCAAUCAUACAGACUAUUAUUCGAACUCACUAACUCGAGAGUGGUAGAGGUAACUGGAAUUUCUUGUGUAGGAGUGAAAUCCGUAGAUAUAAGAAGGAAUACCAAUGGCGUAGGCAGGUUGCUGGACCAUUUCUGACGCUAAGGCACGAAAGCGUGGGGAGCGAACGGGAUUAGAUACCCCGGUAGUCCACGCCGUAAACGAUGGAUACUAGCUGUUGGAGGUAUCGACCCCUUCAGUAGCGAAGCUAACGCGUUAAGUAUCCCGCCUGUGGAGUACGGCCGCAAGGCUAAAACAUAAAGGAAUUGACGGGGAUCAGCACAAGCGGUGGAUCGUGUUCUUUAAUUCGAUGAUAAACGAAGAACCUUACCAGGGCUUGACAUCCAGGGAAGCACUA